GGUUUAAUUCGAUGCAACGCGAAAACCUUACCUACCUUUGACAUGUACGGAAUUCGCCAGAGAUGGCUUAGUGCUCGAAAGAGAACCGUAACACAGGUGCUGCAUGGCUGUCGUCAGCUCGUGUCGUGAGAUGUUGGGUUAAGUCCCGCAACGAGCGCAACCCUUGUCAUUAGUUGCUACAUUUAGUUGGGCACUCUAAUGAGACUGCCGGUGACAAACCGGAGGAAGGUGGGGAUGACGCCAAGUCCUCAUGGCCCUUAUAGGUAGGGCUACACACGUCAUACAAUGGAUGGUACAAAGGGUCGCCAACCCGCGGGGGGGAGCCAAUCCCAUAAAACCAUUCGUAGUCCGGAUCGCAGUCUGCAACUCGACUGCGUGAAGUCGGAAUCGCUAGUAAUCGUGGAUCAGAAUGUCACGGUGAAUACGUUCCCGGGUCUU
RNAcentral lists this ribosomal RNA (438 nucleotides) under uncultured Polaromonas sp. Its description in RNAcentral is "bacterial SSU rRNA". It matches the Rfam family "Bacterial small subunit ribosomal RNA", at positions 943 to 1382 of the family's 1533-position model. Lineage: Bacteria; Pseudomonadati; Pseudomonadota; Betaproteobacteria; Burkholderiales; Comamonadaceae. The record is from RNAcentral.